AACGAACGCUGGCGGCGUGCCUAACACAUGCAAGUCGUACGAGAAACACUUCCUUCGGGUUGUGGAGUAAAGUGGCGCACGGGUGAGUAACACGUGGGUAACCUGCCCUCGGGAUCGGGAUAACUGGCCGAAAGGCCCGCUAAUACCGGAUAAGACCACGAGAACUACGGUUCUUGGGGUAAAAGUCGGCCUCUCAUAGAAGCCGGCGCCUGAAGAUGGGCCCGCGGACCAUUAGCUAGUUGGUAAGGUAACGGCUUACCAAGGCCGAGAUGGUUAGCUGGUCUGAGAGGAUGAUCAGCCACACUGGAACUGAGAUACGGUCCAGACUCCUACGGGAGGCUG
This 342-nucleotide ribosomal RNA is filed under the name uncultured Pseudomonadota bacterium. RNAcentral's name for it is "bacterial SSU rRNA". It matches the Rfam family "Bacterial small subunit ribosomal RNA", at positions 29 to 351 of the family's 1533-position model. The record is from RNAcentral. Lineage: Bacteria; Pseudomonadati; Pseudomonadota.